Molecule: ribosomal RNA, 2932 nt
Filed under: Escherichia coli
Lineage: Bacteria; Pseudomonadati; Pseudomonadota; Gammaproteobacteria; Enterobacterales; Enterobacteriaceae
Description: bacterial LSU rRNA
Rfam family: Bacterial large subunit ribosomal RNA
Source: RNAcentral
GGGUUGUGAGGUUAAGCGACUAAGCGUACACGGUGGAUGCCCUGGCAGUCAGAGGCGAUGAAGGACGUGCUAAUCUGCGAUAAGCGUCGGUAAGGUGAUAUGAACCGUUAUAACCGGCGAUUUCCGAAUGGGGAAACCCAGUGUGAUUCGUCACACUAUCAUUAACUGAAUCCAUAGGUUAAUGAGGCGAACCGGGGGAACUGAAACAUCUAAGUACCCCGAGGAAAAGAAAUCAACCGAGAUUCCCCCAGUAGCGGCGAGCGAACGGGGAGCAGCCCAGAGCCUGAAUCAGUGUGUGUGUUAGUGGAAGCGUCUGGAAAGGCGCGCGAUACAGGGUGACAGCCCCGUACACAAAAAUGCACAUGCUGUGAGCUCGAUGAGUAGGGCGGGACACGUGGUAUCCUGUCUGAAUAUGGGGGGACCAUCCUCCAAGGCUAAAUACUCCUGACUGACCGAUAGUGAACCAGUACCGUGAGGGAAAGGCGAAAAGAACCCCGGCGAGGGGAGUGAAAAAGAACCUGAAACCGUGUACGUACAAGCAGUGGGAGCACGCUUAGGCGUGUGACUGCGUACCUUUUGUAUAAUGGGUCAGCGACUUAUAUUCUGUAGCAAGGUUAACCGAAUAGGGGAGCCGAAGGGAAACCGAGUCUUAACUGGGCGUUAAGUUGCAGGGUAUAGACCCGAAACCCGGUGAUCUAGCCAUGGGCAGGUUGAAGGUUGGGUAACACUAACUGGAGGACCGAACCGACUAAUGUUGAAAAAUUAGCGGAUGACUUGUGGCUGGGGGUGAAAGGCCAAUCAAACCGGGAGAUAGCUGGUUCUCCCCGAAAGCUAUUUAGGUAGCGCCUCGUGAAUUCAUCUCCGGGGGUAGAGCACUGUUUCGGCAAGGGGGUCAUCCCGACUUACCAACCCGAUGCAAACUGCGAAUACCGGAGAAUGUUAUCACGGGAGACACACGGCGGGUGCUAACGUCCGUCGUGAAGAGGGAAACAACCCAGACCGCCAGCUAAGGUCCCAAAGUCAUGGUUAAGUGGGAAACGAUGUGGGAAGGCCCAGACAGCCAGGAUGUUGGCUUAGAAGCAGCCAUCAUUUAAAGAAAGCGUAAUAGCUCACUGGUCGAGUCGGCCUGCGCGGAAGAUGUAACGGGGCUAAACCAUGCACCGAAGCUGCGGCAGCGACACUGUGUGUUGUUGGGUAGGGGAGCGUUCUGUAAGCCUGCGAAGGUGUGCUGUGAGGCAUGCUGGAGGUAUCAGAAGUGCGAAUGCUGACAUAAGUAACGAUAAAGCGGGUGAAAAGCCCGCUCGCCGGAAGACCAAGGGUUCCUGUCCAACGUUAAUCGGGGCAGGGUGAGUCGACCCCUAAGGCGAGGCCGAAAGGCGUAGUCGAUGGGAAACAGGUUAAUAUUCCUGUACUUGGUGUUACUGCGAAGGGGGGACGGAGAAGGCUAUGUUGGCCGGGCGACGGUUGUCCCGGUUUAAGCGUGUAGGCUGGUUUUCCAGGCAAAUCCGGAAAAUCAAGGCUGAGGCGUGAUGACGAGGCACUACGGUGCUGAAGCAACAAAUGCCCUGCUUCCAGGAAAAGCCUCUAAGCAUCAGGUAACAUCAAAUCGUACCCCAAACCGACACAGGUGGUCAGGUAGAGAAUACCAAGGCGCUUGAGAGAACUCGGGUGAAGGAACUAGGCAAAAUGGUGCCGUAACUUCGGGAGAAGGCACGCUGAUAUGUAGGUGAAGUCCCUCGCGGAUGGAGCUGAAAUCAGUCGAAGAUACCAGCUGGCUGCAACUGUUUAUUAAAAACACAGCACUGUGCAAACACGAAAGUGGACGUAUACGGUGUGACGCCUGCCCGGUGCCGGAAGGUUAAUUGAUGGGGUCAGCGCAAGCGAAGCUCUUGAUCGAAGCCCCGGUAAACGGCGGCCGUAACUAUAACGGUCCUAAGGUAGCGAAAUUCCUUGUCGGGUAAGUUCCGACCUGCACGAAUGGCGUAAUGAUGGCCAGGCUGUCUCCACCCGAGACUCAGUGAAAUUGAACUCGCUGUGAAGAUGCAGUGUACCCGCGGCAAGACGGAAAGACCCCGUGAACCUUUACUAUAGCUUGACACUGAACAUUGAGCCUUGAUGUGUAGGAUAGGUGGGAGGCUUUGAAGUGUGGACGCCAGUCUGCAUGGAGCCGACCUUGAAAUACCACCCUUUAAUGUUUGAUGUUCUAACGUUGACCCGUGAUCCGGGUUGCGGACAGUGUCUGGUGGGUAGUUUGACUGGGGCGGUCUCCUCCUAAAGAGUAACGGAGGAGCACGAAGGUUGGCUAAUCCUGGUCGGACAUCAGGAGGUUAGUGCAAUGGCAUAAGCCAGCUUGACUGCGAGCGUGACGGCGCGAGCAGGUGCGAAAGCAGGUCAUAGUGAUCCGGUGGUUCUGAAUGGAAGGGCCAUCGCUCAACGGAUAAAAGGUACUCCGGGGAUAACAGGCUGAUACCGCCCAAGAGUUCAUAUCGACGGCGGUGUUUGGCACCUCGAUGUCGGCUCAUCACAUCCUGGGGCUGAAGUAGGUCCCAAGGGUAUGGCUGUUCGCCAUUUAAAGUGGUACGCGAGCUGGGUUUAGAACGUCGUGAGACAGUUCGGUCCCUAUCUGCCGUGGGCGCUGGAGAACUGAGGGGGGCUGCUCCUAGUACGAGAGGACCGGAGUGGACGCAUCACUGGUGUUCGGGUUGUCAUGCCAAUGGCACUGCCCGGUAGCUAAAUGCGGAAGAGAUAAGUGCUGAAAGCAUCUAAGCACGAAACUUGCCCCGAGAUGAGUUCUCCCUGACUCCUUGAGAGUCCUGAAGGAACGUUGAAGACGACGACGUUGAUAGGCCGGGUGUGUAAGCGCAGCGAUGCGUUGAGCUAACCGGUACUAAUGAACCGUGAGGCUUAACCUUACAACGCCGACGGUGUUUUG